This 483-nucleotide ribosomal RNA is filed under the name uncultured bacterium. Its description in RNAcentral is "partial 16S ribosomal RNA". It matches the Rfam family "Bacterial small subunit ribosomal RNA", at positions 28 to 507 of the family's 1533-position model. The record is from RNAcentral.
GAUGAACGCUGGCGGCGUGCCUAACACAUGCAAGUCGAACGGAGUCGUUUUGGAAAUCUCUUCGGAGAUGGAAUUCUCGACUUAGUGGCGGACGGGUGAGUAACGCGUGAGCAAUCUGCCUUUAAGAGGGGGAUAACAGUCGGAAACGGCUGCUAAUACCGCAUAAAGCAUUAAAUUCGCAUGUUUUUGAUGCCAAAGGAGCAAUCCGCUUUUAGAUGAGCUCGCGUCUGAUUAGCUAGUUGGCGGGGUAACGGCCCACCAAGGCGACGAUCAGUAGCCGGACUGAGAGGUUGAACGGCCACAUUGGGACUGAGACACGGCCCAGACUCCUACGGAAGGCAGCAGUGGGGAAUAUUGCGCAAUGGGGGAAACCCUGACGCAGCAACGCCGCGUGAUUGAAGAAGGCCUUCGGGUUGUAAAGAUCUGUAAUCAGGGACGAAACAAAUGACGGUACCUGAAGAAUAAGCUCCGGCUAACUACGUG